CACGCCGUCACGCCGCCGCCUUUCCUCGCUCCCUAUCGCUGCUCCUCCUCGCCGGCGCAGGCUCCGGCGCCUUCUCCUCCCUGGCUGCCCGGUUCCGCGCGUGAUGGUCGCCAUGAAGAGCAAGGAACCCUCGGAUGAGGUGCCCUCGGACCGCGUGCCGCACCUGCCGUGGAUGCGGCACCCCGUCGACAUCGACUCCUUCUCCGGCUACCCCGUCACGACCCUCCCCCGUCUCGACCCAAGAUUGGCUGCGGCAGUGCAGAGAAUAGGAAUCGAAUCCUUCUUCCCAGUUCAGGUAGCGACAUGGCUGGAAACGGUUGGGCCCGGUGCUUUCCAGAGGGAUAUCUGUAUCAACUCCCCGACUGGAUCCGGCAAGACCCUUGCUUAUGCCUUGCCUAUUGUGCAAAUGCUCUCCACUCGGAAAGUAAGGUGCUUGCGUGCCUUGGUCGUGCUACCUACACGGGAUUUAGCAUUGCAGGUUAAAGAGGUUUUUGAUGCUAUUGCUCCUGCUGUGGGAUUGACAGUUGCUUCAGCUGUUGGUCAAUCGUCCAUAGCGGAUGAAAUUUCACUUCUUAUCAGGAAGUCCAAGCAAGGGCUUUACCCAACUCUUGAUGAAGAAUUUGUGGAAAUGGAACCACAGACUCAGGUUGAUAUAUUGGUGGCUACUCCUGGAAGAUUGAUGGAUCAUAUUAACAUGACAAAAGGUUUUAGUCUGGAGCAUCUUCAGUACCUGGUUGUUGAUGAGACGGAUAGAAUGUUAAGAGAGGCAUAUCAGUCCUGGUUGCCAACAGUUAUCCAGUUUACCCGCUCCACCAAUCAAGAUCAUCUCCGGCUUGACACUGCUGGAAAAACUCUACUACAUCCAUUCACUACCAUUAGAAGAUCGGGUGUUGAGCGAGGAUUUAAAGGUAAAUGCUUUCCAAGACUGGUGAAGAUAGUUUGUUCUGCUACACUGACUCAAGAUCCUAGCAAACUUUCUCAACUUGAGUUGCAUCAUCCCUUGCUGUUGAAUAGUGGGAAGAAGCGUUACAGAAUUCCUACAAAGCUGGAGUCAUACAAGCUGGUCUGCACAUCAAACUUAAAGCCACUGUGUCUCAUUGUUCUUCUCCAAGAGUUGCGCGGGGAGAAGUGCUUGGUUUUUACUUCAUCUGUAGAAUCAAGCAAUAGACUAAGCACUUUACUCGGAUUUUUCGAAGACUUGCCCUUUAAGUUUAGUGAAUUUUCACGUUUGCAGCGUGAAUCUGCUCGAAGGAAGACAUUGGCAGCCUUCAAGGAAGGGGAAAUAGAUGUUCUCAUCGGCACAGAUAUAAUGGCUCGAGGAAUACAUAUCGAUGGUUUAAAAUAUGUUAUCAACUAUGAUAUGCCACCGUAUGUGAAAACGUACAUCCACCGAGCAGGUCGUACUGCUAGGGCAGGCGAAUCUGGUUCUUGCUUCACGCUUUUAAGGAAACAUGAGGUCAAAACUUUCGACAAAAUGCUCAAGAAGGCGGAUGAUUCUAGCUGCAGCCUUCGUUCACUACCCGAGGAAUCAAUAGAAAGCCUUCGCCCAACUUUUUCCAUUGCUCUAAAGAAACUGGAAGAAUCUCUACAACCAGAAGCAUCAAAGAAAUCCAACUCAGGAGAUAAAGUGCCAGGUGGUUCUAAAAGAAAGAGAACCAAGCAGACGUGAAGUAACAGAUCAGUUGAAGUUCAAAAAAUUCACCAUAACAUUGGUAAUAUAGAUUCGGAAAUUUGUACCCAGAAAAUUCUGAAGGCUCCAUCCAUCAUUGGCAUCCAAACCAAAAGGGUCUAGCUUGUUGUACCUGUUAAUCCAUUGGUCAUGGCUGCAAUACGCCGCUCACUUUCGUGUUCGGUACAGUGAAUUACUCCUAAUGUUUUCACUAGGGACAGUAUUAUCCUUACCAUCUGUGGUGUCAAUCCACCACUGUGCUUAUAAGUUGACACUCUUCCCCGCAAUUGUAUAAGCCGAUGUAACAUUUUUCCAGUUAUGCUUACACUUGGAAGUGUGUUUUUUUUUUGGAAAUACACUUGAAAUGCUUGUUUCCACUUUACUGUGAGAUAGUUUGUCAAUAUAUCUACUUAGUCUUUUAUACUUC
Non-coding RNA from Lolium perenne, 2096 nucleotides. NCBI's taxonomy places the organism in Eukaryota, Viridiplantae, Streptophyta, Magnoliopsida, Poales, Poaceae. The record is from RefSeq and is a predicted model, not a curated record.